Molecule: ribosomal RNA, 497 nt
Filed under: uncultured bacterium
Lineage: Bacteria
Description: partial 16S ribosomal RNA
Rfam family: Bacterial small subunit ribosomal RNA
Source: RNAcentral
GAUGAACGCUGGCGGCGUGCCUAAUACAUGCAAGUCGAGCGAACAGACGAGGAGCUUGCUCCUCUGACGUUAGCGGCGGACGGGUGAGUAACACGUGGAUAACCUACCUAUAAGACUGGGAUAACUUCGGGAAACCGGAGCUAAUACCGGAUAAUAUAUUGAACCGCAUGGUUCAAUAGUGAAAGACGGUUUUGCUGUCACUUAUAGAUGGAUCCGCGCCGCAUUAGCUAGUUGGUAAGGUAACGGCUUACCAAGGCAACGAUGCGUAGCCGACCUGAGAGGGUGAUCGGCCACACUGGAACUGAGACACGGUCCAGACUCCUACGGGAGGCAGCAGUAGGGAAUCUUCCGCAAAGGGCGAAAGCCUGACGGAGCAACGCCGCGUGAGUGAUGAAGGUCUUCGGAUCGUAAAACUCUGUUAUUAGGGAAGAACAAAUGUGGAAGUAACUAUGCACGUCUUGACGGUACCUAAUCAGAAAGCCACGGCUAACUACGUG